Molecule: transfer RNA, 70 nt
Filed under: Pangasianodon hypophthalmus (striped catfish)
Lineage: Eukaryota; Metazoa; Chordata; Actinopteri; Siluriformes; Pangasiidae
Description: tRNA-Glu
Rfam family: tRNA (bases 8-63)
About the family: Transfer RNA (tRNA) molecules are approximately 80 nucleotides in length. Their secondary structure includes four short double-helical elements and three loops (D, anti-codon, and T loops).
Source: RNAcentral
CCCUGGAGGACUAGUGGUUAGGCCACAGGGCUCUCACUCCUGCGGCUCGGGUUCGAAUCCCGGGUAGGAG